AAGAAAUAAACAAUGGGGUUAGUGUAAUCUUACCCUGGUAGCACCUCGCAUACUCUGCAUCAUCUGUUCGCUGGUUCUCAUCGUCUAUAAAAAGAUUAGCAUUAUGGUUAAACGAAAAAAUUUAAAAAAUCUCAUAUAGUGAAGAUUAUCAAUCAAAUGGACUUACUUGUAAUCUCAAAGAUAUAGCUUGUAGCUGCGUUUUUGCAUUCAUCAUUUUCUUACGGCUAUUCCUUAGUCUCAUCAAAUCCCGAGCUUGAAUACGGGCAGCACCAGUAUUUCCGGCUUUUGCACUACCUUUAAUUUCUUGAAUAAGCGCUCGCUCCCUUUGGUCCAAUUUCGUUCGUUCACGAUCCAAUUCCCGUUCAGCUCGACCAAGAGAUCUCUGAUGAGCCCUCAGCUGUUCUUGAGGGGACUUCCCCCCUCCA
This is a non-coding RNA of Schizosaccharomyces pombe (fission yeast), 425 nucleotides long. The record is from the annotation of a GenBank genome assembly. Lineage: Eukaryota; Fungi; Ascomycota; Schizosaccharomycetes; Schizosaccharomycetales; Schizosaccharomycetaceae.